CCUCCUGCCAGCCUGUGGUAGCUCACAGACCCCGCCCGAUGGUUCCACCACUGCUUUAAGACGCUCCUGCCAAAAGGGUUUUUCUGGCCCUUCUCUCCCUGGUCAUUGUUCUCCUACACUUUGUGAAAACUCCUGCUAGUGAAAACUAACCACUUUAUUUGUAUUUUUUCAGGUUAAUUUUCAGCAGAAGUUCCCUUAUCUAACUGGCCACAUGGUUUCAUGACUGCUCAUGCUCAGACAAGACACGGUGAACUGGAAGACAAAUGGGAUAUAUAAGUUUGUGAAGGAACUUUUCUGGGAUAGUGACAGACUUCACUUAACACCUUGGAGACAUAGUAAAGUAAGUUAAACAGAGUAUCAAGAAUGUCUCACAUAGUUUUCUCUGCUGUUGAGGACCCCGCUCCCAGAUAACAGGGUAAUAUAAGCUAAGUACUUGAGUCAGCAUUCCUGGCUGCUAAGGUAAAAAUCUAGUAAUAGUGCCCAUUACACAGUGUGGUAUUUCUGUCAUAAAAGAUGGGAAAAGCACUAAACUGUCUUUUUUUAUUUAAGAAGCAUCUUGUGCUUUCAGAUUAUUUUUUUGUUUGUUUGUUAAAGGUAUAUAUCUUAACACCAAUGGGCAAGCUGCAGCAUAAAGUAAUGCACCAUUAAACAUAUGUAAAUGCAGAGAAAAAAUUUAAAUGCGAAGAGGUUUCUGAAAAUGAAAUUGAUAUAAUGGGCUUAAUAAGUAAAUAUCCUAAUGCAAAUAAGACAUUAAUUGAACAUUCCCUAGCGAAGUAAGAAUGAGUGAUUUUUUUGUUCUAAGUGAGUUAUGUAUCCUUUAGGUGCCUGUUUGUGUGAUGCUUGCUAGCUUUUGUUGAGCGUACAGCUCUGAAUACAACUACCUAUAAUUCAAGGAGCUGGAAAGAAAUUGUUCCAUGGCUGGUUAAAAAAAAUUACUGCAGAUACUGUUCCUGCUAAACCAAAUUUCUGGGUACUGAUGGCUGUUUUUUCAUAGUUAAGUGUGUCCAUUAGUGUGCAUAAGGAACAGGUAAAGGCAUUCAAUUAUGUUGUUGAGGGGUUAACCUUCUGUGACGGGACUAAUGUGGUGCUUGACUAAGAAAUGAUUGACUUCAGGUUCUCUUCAGGUUUCAAAACAAGAGGCAAAAAGAACUAGAAGAUGACUUUUAUAGCAACAGUUGGUAGCCUUUCACUGAUGUUUAAAUAAAUUACACUUGACUGAUCACUGUCCAAAGAAUCUCAGAACUUUUCAAGUAGGCAUGAAAAACAAACCCUGCUGCUACUUCUGGCUUUGCCAGGGUGAGUCUGUAGUAACAUUAUCAAAGUCACUGUUUAGGAAGUAUAGGAAAAUACAUCAGUUUUGGAGCAUGCUCUUCCACUGUGUUGAAUAGUUCUCUAAAACCACUGGAAUGACAUUGCCCAGACGUCCAGCUUGCUUCAAGGAAAAAGUUCAAAAACUGUCUUUCACUUUGUAGUUAUUAGGAGAUCCUGCCAUGCUUCCCAAAGUAGGUGAAUCUUACACAACCUUGGGUUUAUGAUAUUUUGUUCCCUUUUCUCUACGUAUCUGAUGGGAAGAAAGUAUAUCCAAUUCAAAAGUCAUCUUAAAAUGACCUUUGGAAAAGUGUAAGAUGCUCUUGUUUCUUUGGUAUGAUAUAAUUAGCUUAGGUUUUAGUACUGAAUGAAGGUACUGGAAAACCAGGCUGUAUCAGUUGUUUGCAUUAUUAUUUUACUUUCUUGAUGGUUUACUGUCUUGAUUAGGAAAUUGUGUCCCCCUGGGAGCUUCAGACAAAGUGAUAGAUUUUUCUGACAGAAAAAUACACUGCAUCCUGUAGAUGGUGGCUUUUUUGUGCAGGUAAAAAUGUGUGGAGAGAUGAAGCACUAGAAUAGCUGAUGGGUCUUUGUUGUUUGUUUUUAAAAAAAACCACCCUUGUACACAAGGCACAGGUUUUCUGGCACUUUUUAAAGCAGCUUAUUCAGCUGUAAAGAUUUGGGGUUGCUGUUUAAUUAGCUGUUUAGAAUUGUACACUUUGCAUAAUCGCUAUUUGACUACACUCUGCAAAAGGAGGAAGUUCAGUCUAUUCGUUCCUCAACUAAAACAAUCUAAAACGCGAAUCAUACUUUCCGAUUUGUCUUCAUUGUGCUCAAGUUUUAAGGUAACUAAUUCUUCCAGGGAAAGACAGUGUGACUUCUGCCUGAUCAGUUGUUAUUAUUUCAGUCUUGUGCAUAGUCUUAUCUUUCAAAUAGAAUUUCCUGUAGGUGGAAGUCAAUAUAUUCCAAGACACUGGAAUGUGAAUAGUUUAUUUGACUUGGGAGUGGUGGAAACAAUAAGCUGCUCUGCAGUGUUAAAUAUAAAAAAAUCAGAAUUGAAACUGAUACGAGUCUGUAUAUGAGUUUUUUGUACCUGAGAUUUUCCCACAUAAUAUAUACACCCACAUACAAGUGUGUGUAUUCGUGUACAUAAAAACCUCUUCAAAAUGUUUUGUAUUGGUUACUUUUCGCAUUGUAGUCAGAUCUGAGCGUGCUUGUCAAAGUUAUUCUAUCAUAAUAGAACAGAAAAUUAAUGUUUUUUUUAAAAAAAAUUUAAAUGCAUGCAUAUUUUUUGUAACUGGUAGCAUGGCUAGCUAUAUUUUUAUCAGCAUUUCUCCUGUAUUCCCAAGGGCUCUAAAAUGUGCAAUUAAGGCUAGCAGGAAAGAUCUUGCAGUUCGUUCUGAAAUCCUGGCAGAUUAUGUUUGAAGUACUACCUUCAUAACUAUGGAUGCUGACCAGAACAGGCUGGGAUGUGAGGCAGGCAUUUCCAAGAGACAUCCUAGCAGAGCCUGUCUCCUGGCAUCCUUGUGUCCAGAGUCCCCCUCCAUGCUCUCUUCUCCUCCACAUCUUUCUUUGUUGUUCCACUUCCACCCUCAUCCAGUGCCCCCUGCUCAGCCCUUGCCCCCUCCCAGGUGGGCAGCAGCAGGAUUUGGCCCCAGCUGCCCCCUGCUUUGCUCUUGGUGGGGUUUAGCAUAGCGGCACUUGCUGAAGGCUUGGGCUGAGGGGUGACACAGGGCUGGUGCUGGGGCACAAGCACUUUCAGGUAGGCAUUCAUAAAGCUUGCAGCAGUAUUCCUCAAUUCCUGUUUUGACUGUUGUCUAUAGAUAUUGAUGAAAAGCUCCAUUCAUGACAAAGGCAGGAAGCUUUUAACAUGAAAACAGUCAAACUGUUGUCACAAUUCAAAGCAAAUAUGAGGCCUGGAUAGAAACACAAUAUAAACAUUCCCAGGAGAGCUUCUUGAGACUUGUUAUGCGGAGCAAAGUUGGCACAGUGUCUCAUUUGCAACACUAAAAAUCAAAUGUUUUUGUUUAUUGUUUUUACAAUAUUGAAGUGACAUUUUAUUUGCCUUAAGAAUAAGUUGCUGACGCACAAGACUUCUCUGCCCACUGAGUCACACCAGAUGAGCUCUCCUGCUGUAGUCACAAGUGUCUGCUCGGCAGACUUGUUUUAGCAACUGAAAAAUCAAUAAUUCAUUCAUAGCUGAGAUAAAAAGCUCAAGCCCAUUACGAGAUUACCACCACUGUGAAGACUUUCAGUUGUAUUCGUACUAAAAGAGGAGGAGACUGAGAGUGUUUGCUACUUAUAGUUUGGUCUACUACCUAUUUUCUUUUUUUGUAAGGUGCCUAUCAUCAGGCUAUCUAAGUAACAAUAAAAUAGUCACUCAACUGUUAUACUAAACACUGCUUUCAAGAUAACUUAGUAUAAUGAAAAUGAAACUUGUUUUGAUGAUGAUAAAAAUGUUUGUUCAAUAAUUUGUACCAUAAUUCCCAAGUGAACAAGUAGCCCUUGAGUUCAUGAAGAAAAAUAAUUUCAUUAAUUGUUACUCGAUAACAUCUUGCAGCUGAAAAAUACAAAUCACUAUGUAACUGAUUACACUAAUUUACAUGCAAGAGGAAUCGCUCUAGAGGAGGGGAUGUGCAAAAGUUCAGAACAAAAUUAACAAAUGUAUAAUAUUAAAGGGAAGGCAGCCAAUUUUGAAUUGGAUUACAAAUGAGCAAGUUUCCAUAUUUGCAAUAUAUUGUAGAAACAAUGGAAAUAGGCCAAAAUUGGCAAGCGUUUGUAUAUUUUUCUCAUUUAUUUAAAAACUUUUUACCUGUUACUACCACUAUGGUAGCUACUGUCUCUUCAAUCUUAAGAAGCUUAUAGUCAUCCAUAGCAUUUGGUUCUUCGUCUGAGUGUAUAGCUAAAAGGCUAUGGGAAAAAUAAUCCUUGUCAACUCCUGCUAUGGUGAAUCUAUUGAGCAUGUGAAAGACCAGUUUUAGGCCUGGUAUUUUCUGCAGACUGUUACUCUGACGGCAUAGUCAUCGGCAAUCACUGGGCUGUGUUUCCAUUUAUAAUUUCUUCAGAGUCAAAUCUCAUUGUCCUCUUCUCCUUCCUGCCUGACACCAGAUUACUGCUGUGGCUGGUCCCUGUUGGCGUGGCUGUACCCUAACCCAGUCUUCUGAAAGAAUCCAAUUAAAAAGGCUGCCGAAAAGA
This is a long non-coding RNA of Falco peregrinus (peregrine falcon), 4500 nucleotides long. RefSeq lists it as uncharacterized. The transcript is spliced from 2 exons. The record is from RefSeq and is a predicted model, not a curated record. NCBI's taxonomy places the organism in Eukaryota, Metazoa, Chordata, Aves, Falconiformes, Falconidae.